RNAcentral lists this ribosomal RNA (465 nucleotides) under Vreelandella stevensii. Its description in RNAcentral is "partial 16S ribosomal RNA". It matches the Rfam family "Bacterial small subunit ribosomal RNA", at positions 338 to 795 of the family's 1533-position model. The record is from RNAcentral. Lineage: Bacteria; Pseudomonadati; Pseudomonadota; Gammaproteobacteria; Oceanospirillales; Halomonadaceae.
CCUACGGGUGGCUGCAGUGGGGAAUAUUGGACAAUGGGGGGAACCCUGAUCCAGCCAUGCCGCGUGUGUGAAGAAGGCCCUCGGGUUGUAAAGCACUUUCAGUGAGGAAGAACGCCUGGUGGUUAAUACCCAUCAGGAAAGACAUCACUCACAGAAGAAGCACCGGCUAACUCCGUGCCAGCAGCCGCGGUAAUACGGAGGGUGCGAGCGUUAAUCGGAAUUACUGGGCGUAAAGCGCGCGUAGGUGGCUUUAUAAGCCGGUUGUGAAAGCCCCGGGCUCAACCUGGGAACGGCAUCCGGAACUGUCAAGCUAGAGUGCAGGAGAGGAAGGUAGAAUUCCCGGUGUAGCGGUGAAAUGCGUAGAGAUCGGGAGGAAUACCAGUGGCGAAGGCGGCCUUCUGGACUGACACUGACACUGAGGUGCGAAAGCGUGGGUAGCAAACAGGAUUAGAUACCCGUGUAGUC